This 600-nucleotide ribosomal RNA is filed under the name uncultured Gammaproteobacteria bacterium. Its description in RNAcentral is "bacterial SSU rRNA". It matches the Rfam family "Bacterial small subunit ribosomal RNA", at positions 1 to 586 of the family's 1533-position model. The record is from RNAcentral. Lineage: Bacteria; Pseudomonadati; Pseudomonadota; Gammaproteobacteria.
AAUUCGCCCUUAGAGUUUGAUCAUGGCUCAGAUUGAACGCUGGCGGCAGGCCUAACACAUGCAAGUCGAACGGUAGCACAGAGGAGCUUGCUCCUUGGGUGACGAGUGGCGGACGGGUGAGUAAUGUCUGGGAAACUGCCCGAUGGAGGGGGAUAACUACUGGAAACGGUAGCUAAUACCGCAUAACGUCGCAAGACCAAAGAGGGGGACCUUCGGGCCUCUUGCCAUCGGAUGUGCCCAGAUGGGAUUAGCUAGUAGGUGGGGUAACGGCUCACCUAGGCGACGAUCCCUAGCUGGUCUGAGAGGAUGACCAGCCACACUGGAACUGAGACACGGUCCAGACUCCUACGGGAGGCAGCAGUGGGGAAUAUUGCACAAUGGGCGCAAGCCUGAUGCAGCCAUGCCGCGUGUAUGAAGAAGGCCUUCGGGUUGUAAAGUACUUUCAGCGAGGAGGAAGGCAUUAAGGUUAAUAACUUUAGUGAUUGACGUUACUCGCAGAAGAAGCACCGGCUAACUCCGUGCCAGCAGCCGCGGUAAUACGGAGGGUGCAAGCGUUAAUCGGAAUUACUGGGCGUAAAGCGCACGCAGGCGGUCUGUCAA